RNAcentral lists this ribosomal RNA (463 nucleotides) under uncultured bacterium. RNAcentral's name for it is "bacterial SSU rRNA". It matches the Rfam family "Bacterial small subunit ribosomal RNA", at positions 65 to 518 of the family's 1533-position model. The record is from RNAcentral.
AGGGGCAGCAUGACGAUAGCUUGCUAUGUCGAUGGCGACCGGCGCACGGGUGAGUAACGCGUAUCCAACUUCCCCAUAGUAGGGCAUAGCCCGUAGAAAUGCGGAUUAAUACCCUAUGUUUUCCGAAGCAGACAUCUAAUUCGGAACAAAGGUUCACCGCUAUGGGAUGGGGAUGCGUCUGAUUAGGUUGUUGGCGGGGUAACGGCCCACCAAGCCCUCGAUCAGUAGGGGUUCUGAGAGGAAGGUCCCCCACAUUGGAACUGAGACACGGUCCAAACUCCUACGGGAGGCAGCAGUGAGGAAUAUUGGUCAAUGGGCGAGAGCCUGAACCAGCCAAGUAGCGUGCAAGGAAGACGGCCCUAUGGGUUGUAAACUGCUUUUAUGCGGGGAUAAAGUGGGCUACGUGUAGUCCUUUGCAGGUACCGCAUGAAUAAGGACCGGCUAAUUCCGUGCCAGCAGCUGC